GUGGGGAAUAUUGGGCAAUGGGCGAAAGCCUGACCCAGCAACGCCGCGUGAGGGAAGAAGGCCUUCGGGUUGUAAACCUCUGUCCUUGGUGACGAAAAAAAUGACGGUAGCCAAGGAGGAAGCCCCGGCUAACUACGUGCCAGCAGCCGCGGUAAUACGUAGGGGGCGAGCGUUGUCCGGAAUUACUGGGCGUAAAGGGUGCGUAGGUGGCCUUUUAAGUUGGAUGUGAAAUACCCGGGCUUAACUUGGGGGGUUCAUCUAAUACUGGAGGGCUAGAGUGCAGGAGAGGGAAGCGGAAUUCCUAGUGUAGCGGUGAAAUGCGUAGAUAUUAGGAGGAACACCAGUGGCGAAGGCGGCCACCUGGACCGAUAUUGACGCUGAGGUGCGAAAGCGUGGGGAGCAAACAGGAUUAGAUACCCCAGUAGUCC
This 428-nucleotide ribosomal RNA is filed under the name uncultured bacterium. RNAcentral describes it as "partial 16S ribosomal RNA". It matches the Rfam family "Bacterial small subunit ribosomal RNA", at positions 354 to 796 of the family's 1533-position model. The record is from RNAcentral.